RNAcentral lists this ribosomal RNA (253 nucleotides) under uncultured bacterium. RNAcentral describes it as "partial 16S ribosomal RNA". It matches the Rfam family "Bacterial small subunit ribosomal RNA", at positions 524 to 776 of the family's 1533-position model. The record is from RNAcentral.
GACAGAGGGUGCAACCGUUGUUCGGAAUUACUGGGCGUAAAGCGCGCGUAGGCGGCUUUGUAAGUUAGAAGUGAAAGCCCGGGGCUCAACCCCGGAAUUGCCUUUAAGACUGCAUCGCUUGAAUCCGGGAGAGGUGAGUGGAAUUCCGAGUGUAGAGGUGAAAUUCGUAGAUAUUCGGAAGAACACCAGUGGCGAAGGCGGCUCACUGGACCGGCAUUGACGCUGAGGUGCGAAAGCGUGGGGAGCAAACAGG